UACGGAAGGUGCGAGCGUUAAUCGGAAUUACUGGGCGUAAAGCGUGCGUAGGCGGUCGCGUGUGUCGGAUGUGAAAGCCCCGGGCUUAACCUGGGAAUUGCAUUCGAAACUGCGCGACUAGAGUGUGGUAGAGGAAGACGGAAUUCCACGUGUAGCGGUGAAAUGCGUAGAUAUGUGGAGGAACACCAAUGGCGAAGGCAGUCUUCUGGGCCAACACUGACGCUGAGGCACGAAAGCGUGGAUAGCGAACAGG
RNAcentral lists this unclassified non-coding RNA (253 nucleotides) under Uncultured Salinisphaeraceae bacterium. RNAcentral describes it as "contains 16S-23S intergenic spacer region". It matches the Rfam family "Bacterial small subunit ribosomal RNA", at positions 524 to 776 of the family's 1533-position model. The record is from RNAcentral. Lineage: Bacteria; Pseudomonadati; Pseudomonadota; Gammaproteobacteria; Salinisphaerales; Salinisphaeraceae.